This is a long non-coding RNA of Rhincodon typus (whale shark), 1789 nucleotides long. RefSeq lists it as uncharacterized. The transcript has 3 exons. The record is from RefSeq and is a predicted model, not a curated record. Lineage: Eukaryota; Metazoa; Chordata; Chondrichthyes; Orectolobiformes; Rhincodontidae.
AGCUGUUUGGAUGGAUUCUAUAAAGGUUCUGGGUGACACUCUUCUGGUACAGUGGUCCCUACUCUUAGAUCGUGAGGUCUGGUUUCAAGCCCCACCAGCUCCAGCGUUGAUACCACAAAAUCAGCAGUCUUCAGGAGAACAAUGGAGGUAUGAUGGAUUAUAGGAUAUUCCGAUGUGAUGUUCCACACAGCAGUUUUAUUUAGUUCUCGCUCAAACUUACCAGAUAAAGAGAGCUCUUUGGUAGGAAAGCAGCUUCGAUGGGUUCCAGAGUGACAGUACGACUAUUCGAGUCGGUCGGCCUGUGAAGCCUGGAAUGGGACUCUCGCUCCUGCAUGGAGUGGGCCUCUGGCAGCAGAAUGGCAUGGGCUGGUGAAGCCUGAAGCGGGACUGGAAGCAGCAGAGAAGGAAAAGUUGGACUCUCUUUAAGUUAUCUUUCGUUUUCUAAUUUUAAGUUCAUGAGAAUGGCGCCUAUGUAUGUCAACGGUAUACACUUUUCACUGCAUUUUAUUCUGAAGACGUGAUGAUAAAUGAAUCAAAUUCGAAUUCAAAAUUCACAUAAAAAUAGAUAAAUUUAUUAUUAAAAAGAUAAGCAGGAAAAUGAAACAUCAAGCUAGUGUGGGAUUCUUUUCAGAUUGGGAUCAGGUAAUUUUAGACAAAGAGAAUAAAGGCAAUUUGAGCUACAUCGAAGAGUUGAUAUGUUGACUUCCUGUGAAGAACCUUGCUCACCAGUAACACACAUCAGAAAUAUAAUCUGGCAAUGAGGGCUGUCAAUAAGAAGGAACUACCAAUUUUAAAUUUUCACUGAAGACAUAACAAUGGGGAAAAAGUUCUUCACUUAAAGAUUGGGUCUGUGCAGGAUGCUCUUCGGAGGGUCACUGUGGACUCGAUGGGCCAAAUGGCCUGCUCCUACACUGUAUGGAUUAUAUAACCCAAUAAUAAUCUGUAUUGAUUGGCACAUCCUUUGUCACAGUAAGUGAUUGUGACAGGUCACAUUGUGUGUUCUGAUAUAAAAAUUUGAUAAGCAAAUAAACAGAUGAAGUUGCUAACCUAUGGGACAGGAGCACGGCAAUAAUAUUCAUUUUGGAUUGCUGUAGCAAAAAGGUGGCUAAACCAGAAUCGGCCAAAUUCUCAACAUCUUUUUGUGCAUCUACUACUGAUCUGUUAUACUACGACUAUACCACUAGUGCAUUCAGAUGCUUAUUUUUUGUAAUCACAAAGAAUGCUGUAUUUGUUUACUUGAAGUUAACCACUCUACUCAGCAAAUAUGUACUUUGUACUUACGGCUUACAUAUCAGAUACCAUUGAGUUAUCUAGCCUUGUCACUUAUUGUGCAUCAUUUACUCACUAUCAAACAAUGGAGGUUCCUUUGAUGUUUUUGCAAUGUUGGUGUAUUUAGUCAGACUAAACACAGUCUGAAAGCUAUUUUUGCUUAAUAUGGUGCCUGAUUGUCACAUUGCUACAAUACCAACAUUUAUACUUUUUUUUCUCUUCAACAGAUCUGAUCACACCAACCAUCCCAAUUUUGUGUCUCUGGGUUUCAAAGACAGGCAUCAGACUUAUAGAUUUCAUUAAAUGUACCACUUGCAUUCCUCGGUUUCCCAAGUACACUAAUGGCACUCAACUCCACCUCACCACCUUUUUUGAUCCUUCCACCAUUUCUUAUUUGUUAUGUCUGUCCAAUAUCCAGUAGUAGAUUUAUGUGUGUGCCUCAGUUAAUGCAGUUCUACCUGACAUAGCAAUGCUUAUAUUAUCCCCAAUAACACAAGAAACUUUAUGUGGUUGUUGUGAU